UUCAACAUACACACAGACCCCCAUUUUUCUUCUUUUCUUCUUCACUCACAAUCUCACACACAGGAAAAUUUCCAUAGGAACACACACUCCUUACCAAUGAGCCACGCCAUUUUUCUGAAGAACGCACACCACUACAUACUCACGGAUAUACUCCAUUAACACCAGGUACGCACAGCUCUACACACAUGACAUCACUCACAGACAAUUGAUUGAGAGAGGUAAGAAGAGAGAAAAACAAAUAGAGAAAGGAGGUUGAGAUCGAAGCAGCCAACAAAUCAAGGAGAGAGAGAGAAAAAUUCGACAAAACCCACAGAAAAAGCGUCAUCAGCUUCACUCCGAUCGAACUCACGUCGGAAGGCCAUUCUCCCCUUCGUUUUCUAGUUCAAAUCUCAUCGGAAUUCCAUCCGUAGCUCAAACGGAUACAAAAAUCUUGUUCUAGAUUCCAUUUUUUGGUCAGAUUUGAUUCAGUUUUGGGUUCGAGUUGAGGUCAUUGUUGGUUCAAGAUUGGCAUGGUUCCGGUCGAUGCUAUUUUUAUGAACUCGUGAGAUUGCUAAAGAAAUUUGGUUGAUUGAGGCAACAUUUGAGGUUCAAUUUUCAUCUCUUUCUUUAUAAUUUUGUCAAUCUUAUGUGAGUGAUGGUGUGAAUUGUUGAUAUGUUUUGAUUGUGUGUUUUUGAGCAAUUUUGAUUGUCACGGUGN
This 697-nucleotide long non-coding RNA is filed under the name Capsicum annuum. Its description in RNAcentral is "long non-coding RNA (CANN_LNC000188)". The record is from RNAcentral. Lineage: Eukaryota; Viridiplantae; Streptophyta; Magnoliopsida; Solanales; Solanaceae.